AUUGAACGCUGGCGGCAGGCCUAACACAUGCAAGUCGAACGAGUGGCGGACGGGUGAGUAAUGUCUGGGAAACUGCCUGAUGGAGGGGGAUAACUACUGGAAACGGUAGCUAAUACCGCAUACCCUCAGAUGUGCCCAUAUGGGAUUAGCUUGUUGGUGGGGUAACGGCUCACCAGGGCGACGAUCCCUAGCUGGUCUGAGAGGAGGACCAGCCACACGGGAACGGAGACACGGUCAAGACUCCUAGGGGGGGCAGAAGUGGGGAAUAUUGGACAAGGGGCGAAAGCCGGAUGCAGCCAUCCCGCGUGUAUGAAGAAGGCCUUGGGUUUGUAAAGUACUUUCAGCGGGGAGGCGUUACCCGCAGAAGAAGCACCGGCUAACUCCGUGCCAGCAGCCGCGGUAAUUC
Molecule: ribosomal RNA, 406 nt
Filed under: uncultured bacterium
Lineage: Bacteria
Description: partial 16S ribosomal RNA
Rfam family: Bacterial small subunit ribosomal RNA
Source: RNAcentral